This 100-nucleotide transfer RNA is filed under the name Algoriphagus aestuariicola. RNAcentral describes it as "tRNA-Gly". Lineage: Bacteria; Pseudomonadati; Bacteroidota; Cytophagia; Cytophagales; Cyclobacteriaceae. The record is from RNAcentral.
GCGGGUGUAGCUCAGUUGGUUGUCCGCCUAGGCGGAUCCCAAGCUGAAGGUUCCCGAUUUUUUUCGGGACAAGCUGUGAGUUCGAGACUCAUUACCCGCU